AACGAACGCUGGCGGCAGGCCUAACACAUGCAAGUCGAGCGAACCCUUCGGGGUUAGCGGCGGACGGGUUAGUAACGCGUGGGAAUAUGCCCAAAGGUACGGAAUAGCCUCGGGAAACUGAGAGUAAUACCGUAUGUGCCCUUCGGGGAAAGAUUAUCGCCUUUGGAUUAGCCCGCGUUGGAUUAGGUAGUUGGUGGGGUAAGUGGCCUACCAAGCCGACGAUCCAUAGCUGGUUUGAGAGGAUGAUCAGCAACACUGGGACUGAGACACGGCCCAGACUCCUACGGGAGGCAGCAGUGGGGAAUCUUAGACAAUGGGGGAAACCCUGAUCUAGCCAUGCCGCGUGGACGAUGAAGGCCUUAGGGUUGUAAAGUCCUUUCAGCUGGGAAGAUAAUGACGGUACCAGCAGAAGAAGCCCCGGCUAACUCCGUGCCACGCAGCCGCGGUAAAGUCGAUAUCG
This 460-nucleotide ribosomal RNA is filed under the name uncultured bacterium. Its description in RNAcentral is "bacterial SSU rRNA". It matches the Rfam family "Bacterial small subunit ribosomal RNA", at positions 29 to 534 of the family's 1533-position model. The record is from RNAcentral.